Molecule: transfer RNA, 72 nt
Organism: Camelus ferus (Wild Bactrian camel)
Lineage: Eukaryota; Metazoa; Chordata; Mammalia; Artiodactyla; Camelidae
Rfam family: tRNA
About the family: Transfer RNA (tRNA) molecules are approximately 80 nucleotides in length. Their secondary structure includes four short double-helical elements and three loops (D, anti-codon, and T loops).
Source: Rfam
GAGGGUGGAGCUCAGUGGUGGAGCAUGUGCUCAGCAUGCACGAGGUCCUGGGUUCAAUCCCCAGUAGCUCCA